This 286-nucleotide long non-coding RNA is filed under the name Mytilus galloprovincialis (Mediterranean mussel). Lineage: Eukaryota; Metazoa; Mollusca; Bivalvia; Mytilida; Mytilidae. The record is from RNAcentral.
AAAAGACCAAAACUUAACCAGAUGCUCCGCAGGGCGUAGCUUUAUACGACCGCAGAGGUUGAACCCUGAACGGUUAGGGCAAGUAUGGACACAACAUUCAAGCUGGAUUCAGCUCUAAAUUUGGAUUGUGAUUAAAUAGUUGACACAGCAUAGGUUUCUGACACAGAAUGAAUGUGUUCUAAUGAACUUAAAAAUUUUGUUUUCUCUUAGAGCAAUUCACUAUGCUGUUGAAUAUUAAUCCUCUCAAAAAAAUGUUUGAAGAAAUUUUCUUUUUUAUUUUAUGAAA